RNAcentral lists this long non-coding RNA (538 nucleotides) under Aotus nancymaae (Ma's night monkey). RNAcentral's name for it is "lncRNA (ENSANAG00000038547.1)". The record is from RNAcentral. Lineage: Eukaryota; Metazoa; Chordata; Mammalia; Primates; Aotidae.
CGUGGGUCGCGUGCAGGCGCAUGUGAAUAAUCCAUGAAUGCAGGAGACCUCGCCCUCCUUCUGUCUUCCUAGCAUAGGUUCCUUGAGAGUGCAGUGAGUGGCUCGAGACCUUGGCUUCCAGUCCUCUCGGGAGUUCUGAGCGUACAGUGACAGGGACCAGCUUGUGUCUGAAUGACGGUCACAAAGAUUUCUCCCGUUUAUUGUGCAGUUUCUACGGCCUUUGGGUUGGAUGCAACAGAAGUCUCAAGACGGAAGAAAAAGCUGGGAGAAGAUGCAGCACUGCGGGACUGAAGGGGCCCUUGGAGAUCAUUCUGCCUGUAUCCAUGAGGAGACCAGAGUUUUGAGCCGUGACCUCUUAACUGACUGUGGAGAAGAGCUUCAGUUCUGGACAACAACUACUGUGAAUUUGCAGGUGUCCAGUUCAUUGUAUUGGCUGUAUUUUGGAGCCUUGAAAAACACUGAAAGCUGCUGCUUCAAAAUGUCCAUACCUGCAGUUUUUCCAUGGGCCCUGAUUAGGCCCAGAGCAUAUCAACAAUGA